GACGAACGCUGGCGGCGUGCUUAACACAUGCAAGUCGAACGGAAAGGCCCUGCUUUUGUGGGGUGCUCGAGUGGCGAACGGGUGAGUAACACGUGAGUAACCUGCCCUUGACUUUGGGAUAACUUCAGGAAACUGGGGCUAAUACCGGAUAGGAGCUCCUGCUGCAUGGUGGGGGUUGGAAAGUUUCGGCGGUUGGGGAUGGACUCGCGGCUUAUCAGCUUGUUGGUGGGGUAGUGGCUUACCAAGGCUUUGACGGGUAGCCGGCCUGAGAGGGUGACCGGCCACAUUGGGACUGAGAGACGGCGCAGACUCCUACGGGAGGCAGCAGUGGGGAAUAUUGCACAAUGGGCGGAAGCCUGAUGCAGCAACGCCGCGUGCGGGAUAACGGCCUUCGGGUUGUAAACCGCUUUCGCCUGAGACGAAGCGUGAGUGACGGUAAUGGGUAAAGAAGCACCGGCUAACUACGUG
This 468-nucleotide ribosomal RNA is filed under the name uncultured bacterium. Its description in RNAcentral is "partial 16S ribosomal RNA". It matches the Rfam family "Bacterial small subunit ribosomal RNA", at positions 28 to 507 of the family's 1533-position model. The record is from RNAcentral.